Molecule: unclassified non-coding RNA, 1835 nt
Filed under: Hevea brasiliensis (rubber tree)
Lineage: Eukaryota; Viridiplantae; Streptophyta; Magnoliopsida; Malpighiales; Euphorbiaceae
Source: RNAcentral
AAGUCAAAAUGCGGGCACUUCACUCGUCAUUGAUAAAACCCCUCAUUCGUCUCCAUUGCCCAUUUUCGACUCCCAUUAUUUCACUAUCUCCACUUCGAAAACAAUUUCCCUAUUUGCACUCCUCCGCUACUACUUCACUCCAAAAACUAACCGCCAUGGCCGACAACAAGACGGCAGCCGUCGACGGCAACUUUACCUCUGACCACGUGUCCGACGCUUGGUACUCCGUUCCCGACCUCCGAUUACGCGAUCACCGAUUCACCGUUCCUCUCGAUUACUCUAUUGAUCGCUGUUCCUCUACUAAAAUCACCGUCUUCGCUCGUGAAGUAGUUGCUGUUGGUAAGGAGGAACAAUCUCUGCCAUAUCUACUAUAUUUGCAAGGUGGACCAGGCUUUGAAUGCCCAAGACCAACUGAAGCUGGAGGAUGGAUAAGCAGAGCAUGCGAGGAGUACCGUGUUGUUUUAAUGGAUCAGAGAGGAACAGGUCUAUCAACACCAUUAACACCAUCAUCUAUGUCACAAGUGAAUUCUGCUGAGGAUUUGGCUAACUACUUGAGACAUUUCCGAGCUGAUAAUAUAGUACAUGAUGCUGAGUUCAUCCGAAAACGCCUUGUCCCUGAUGCUGGACCUUGGACAAUACUUGGACAGAGCUUCGGAGGAUUUUGUGCAGUUACCUACUUGAGUUUUGCUCCUAAAGGACUCAAACAAGCUCUUAUAACUGGCGGGCUCCCUCCAAUUGGUGAAGGAUGCACAGCUGAUUCUGUUUAUAAGGCAGGCUUUGAGCAGCUUGUUUGUCAGAAUGAAAAAUAUUACAAGAGGUUUCCACAGGAUAUUGAAAUUGUUCGUGAUGUUGUAAAUUAUCUGGCAGAGUCAGGAGGCGGGGUACCUCUGCCAUCUGGUGGCAUCUUAACACCUCGAGGACUACAACUUCUUGGUCUCUCAGGUCUAGGAUCAAGUACUGGUUUCGAACGAUUGCAUUACCUGUUUGAGAGAGUCUGGGAUCCUUUAAUAGUUCAAGGAGCAAAAAGGAGAAUCAGUGACUACUUCUUGAAUGCUUAUGAGAGAUGGAUCGGAUUUGAUGCAAACCCUUUAUAUGCUCUUUUGCAUGAAAGCAUAUAUUGCCAGGGUGCCUCAUCCCUGUGGUCUGCUCACAGAAUUAGGGCUCUAAAUGACAACAAAUUUGAUGCAAUUGAGGCAGCAAAAGUUGGCUGCCCUGUACUUUUUACUGGAGAGAUGAUAUUCCCAUGGAUAUUUGAUGAGGUCCAUGCGUUGAGGCCGUUCAAAGAUGCUGCCCAGCUACUAGCAGAGAAGAAGGAUUGGCCAUCAUUAUAUGACAUUGCUGCAUUAAAGGAUAAUAAAGUACCAGUUGCAGCAGCUGUUUACUAUGAAGACAUGUAUGUUAACUUAAAGUUAUCUAUGGAGACCGCUUCUCGGAUAGCAGGAAUCAGGCCUUGGAUUACUAAUGAGUACAUGCACUCUGGUUUGAGAGAUGCCGGAAGUCGAGUUUUGGAUCAUUUGCUUGCUAUGUUAAAUGGAAAGAAGCCCUUGUAUUAACUCUAUUUUCCACCAUCAUACACACUUUCUCAUGAACGUCAAAGGCUUAGACAAUGCUCGUGCAUUUAUUGAUGAGAUGGCACCAGGAAGGCUCUUUGAGGUUGUUGACUAUAGCUUGCCGGGGCAUUUAUUUUCACUGGUGUAACUUGAAUAGAAGCAUGCACAACGAUUCUAGGUUUCUUUUGCAUUUGAAUUUCAUCCAGAGUUGGAGGAUCUACGCUGUAUUUAUUUUCAUGCGCUAGCUGCUUAUUGGAUUGACUCUUGCUAUAUAUUUGACUUGGG